RNAcentral lists this ribosomal RNA (314 nucleotides) under Staphylococcus epidermidis NIHLM040. RNAcentral describes it as "bacterial SSU rRNA". It matches the Rfam family "Bacterial small subunit ribosomal RNA", at positions 1 to 302 of the family's 1533-position model. Lineage: Bacteria; Bacillati; Bacillota; Bacilli; Caryophanales; Staphylococcaceae. The record is from RNAcentral.
UUUUUAUGGAGAGUUUGAUCCUGGCUCAGGAUGAACGCUGGCGGCGUGCCUAAUACAUGCAAGUCGAGCGAACAGACGAGGAGCUUGCUCCUCUGACGUUAGCGGCGGACGGGUGAGUAACACGUGGAUAACCUACCUAUAAGACUGGGAUAACUUCGGGAAACCGGAGCUAAUACCGGAUAAUAUAUUGAACCGCAUGGUUCAAUAGUGAAAGACGGUUUUGCUGUCACUUAUAGAUGGAUCCGCGCCGCAUUAGCUAGUUGGUAAGGUAACGGCUUACCAAGGCAACGAUGCGUAGCCGACCUGAGAGGGUG